CGCGUAGGCGGCUAGGCAAGUCAGAGGUGAAAUCCCUCGGCUCAACCGAGGAACUGCCUCUGAUACUGCCUGGCUUGAGUCCCGGAGAGGGUAGUGGAAUUCCCAGUGUAGCGGUGAAAUGCGUAGAUAUUGGGAGGAACACCGGUGGCGAAGGCGGCUAUCUGGAUGGGUACUGAUGCUGAGGCGCGAAAGCGUGGGGAGCAAACA
Molecule: ribosomal RNA, 207 nt
Filed under: uncultured bacterium
Lineage: Bacteria
Description: partial 16S ribosomal RNA
Rfam family: Bacterial small subunit ribosomal RNA
Source: RNAcentral